Molecule: ribosomal RNA, 253 nt
Filed under: uncultured bacterium
Lineage: Bacteria
Description: partial 16S ribosomal RNA
Rfam family: Bacterial small subunit ribosomal RNA
Source: RNAcentral
UACGAGGGGGGCGAGCGUUGUUCGGAAUUACUGGGCGUAAAGCGAGUGUAGGCGGUCUGAAAAGUCAGGUGUGAAAGCCCUGGGCUCAACCCAGGAAGUGCACUUGAAACUGCCAGGCUAGAGUAUCGGAGAGGUUGGUGGAAUUCUCGGUGUAGAGGUGAAAUUCGUAGAUAUCGAGAGGAACACCGGUGGCGAAGGCGGCCAACUGGACGAAUACUGACGCUGAGACACGAAAGCUAGGGGAGCAAACAGG